This 286-nucleotide long non-coding RNA is filed under the name Vombatus ursinus (common wombat). RNAcentral describes it as "lncRNA (ENSVURG00010010378.1)". The record is from RNAcentral. Lineage: Eukaryota; Metazoa; Chordata; Mammalia; Diprotodontia; Vombatidae.
GUAGACUUUCAUAGCCUAAGAAACCGGCUUCGGCUUCUUUAAAAAAAAAAAAAAGAAAGAAAAAGAAAAAGAAAAAACCCCAACCCCUGACGACUCACCUGAUUAACCUGCUGCAGUUCUGACCCUGCCAAGAGCUGGCAAUUUACUGGUUCAUCAACGAAACAAUAUUGAAUUAUGAAGAUGUAAGAAAAAUUCCUGUGCACACGUUGUUGAAGUUUAAAAGUUUUCUAGGGAGCCCUAUAAUAUUCAGAAGACGAUAGAGGAGACUCCCAGAGCUGAAAGGGUG